AUGUUUGUGAUGGUCAGUGAUCCAGUCGUCUCCUGCUUCAGUUUGUUCAUGAAUCUCUCAUCAGGACCGUCAUGUGUCUUCAUCUCUCUGUUCUCUCCUUUGAUUUCAGCGAUGAGAGUCUCUCCAGCUCCAAACAGCCACUGUAUCUCAUCUCCUCUCUGUAUUUCAGUUUCAGGGUUUAGAGUGAUAUUAUUGUACAAUGAGGUUGAUAUAUUAAAAGGAAAGUUCUUUCUCAUAAUUUGAGCCCUUUAAUGUUGCAUUAUCUUAUUUACAGACAGCUGAUAAACAAUCAUUACUUUAAAACACUUGAAUACUCACCAUUGACAGUAACAGUGAAUCUCUUGAAUGAAGUCUGUUUGUUGUUGCUGCUGAUCUUCGCUGUAUAAAGUCCAGUGUCUGUGGUUCUGGUGUUUGUGAUGGUCAGAGAUCCAGUCUGAUCCAGCUUCAGUCUGUCUCUGAAUCUCUCUUCAGUUUCAUUAUAUAAUGAUGAGCUCUUGGUCUCUAUAUCAGCUUUAGCUAUGAGUUUUCCUUCAUCUCCAAACCUCCACACUAUCAGCUCAUCUCCGAUUAGUUCAGUAACAUCAGUAUGAAGAGUGACAGGAUCUCCCUCCAUCACUGACUCGGUCUUAAUCUCAAAUUCAACAGCAUCAACAGAUGGAGACUCUACAAGAAACAGAAUCACAAAUAAAGGUUAAAGAUUGAACACUGUUACCAGCACUAAAUGUUUCACUGUUUAAUAGUUUGUUUAUGGUUACAGCAUACGGCAGAUGCAGAUAAAUAAAGAAAAAAAAAAAAAAAAAACAUGUUUGAUAUGUACAACAAUAUCAAGUUACAAUUCAGUUAUUUUCAAUCAUAUUUCUUAAAACAGCACAGGAACACUUCAAUGUUUGUAUUACACAAUUGACAGAAUGAAAUUUCAUAGAUCUACAAUAGUUUAUCCUGCAUUGGUCUGUUCUGGAACUACUGUAAAUAGUGGAAAGAAACUGAACAAAAUAUCUGGCCAUAUCGUGUAUGAAAUGCAAGUAAUUUGAUAAGUAUUUUGUCCUAGUAAAAAGAGUUAUUACUCUUGACAUCAAGCUUUUAUUCUGAUUAUAAGUCAUGUGAUCACCUGCAGACCAAUCAAAGCUGUGAUGAUAUUCUGAACAUCAGCAUGGAAAUUGGCAAUUGCGAAUA
Molecule: long non-coding RNA, 1173 nt
Filed under: Carassius auratus (goldfish)
Lineage: Eukaryota; Metazoa; Chordata; Actinopteri; Cypriniformes; Cyprinidae
Description: lncRNA (ENSCARG00000042890.1)
Source: RNAcentral